RNAcentral lists this ribosomal RNA (555 nucleotides) under Lipoptena cervi. RNAcentral describes it as "partial 16S ribosomal RNA". The record is from RNAcentral. Lineage: Eukaryota; Metazoa; Arthropoda; Insecta; Diptera; Hippoboscidae.
CCGGUCUGAACUCAGAUCACGUAAGAAUUUAAAAGUCGAACAGACUUAAUUUUUAAGCUUCUACACCUAAAUUUAUUUCUUAAUCCAACAUCGAGGUCGCAAUAUUUUUUAUCAAUAUGAACUCUCCAAAAAAAUUACGCUGUUAUCCCUAAAGUAACUUAUUCUAAUAAUCAAUAUUAUUGGAUCAAUAAUUCAUAAAUUAAUGUUCAAUAAAAUUAAAAGUUAAUUAAAUUUUAAUAUCACCCCAAUAAAAUAUUUAAAUUAAAUUAAAUAAUUUAAUUUCUAAUUUAUAAAAAUUAAUUAAAAUAUAAAGAUUUAUAGGGUCUUCUCGUCUUUUAAUAUUAUUUUAGCUUUUUUACUAAAAAAUAAAAUUUUAUCAAAAAUUAAUAUGAAACAGUAAAUAUUUCGUCCAACCAUUCAUUCCAGCCUUCAAUUAAAAGACUAAUGAUUAUGCUACCUUUGCACAGUUAAUAUACUGCGGCCAUUUAAUUUUAUCAGUGGGCAGGUUAAACUUUUWAUUUAUMCUCAAAAAGAGAUGUUUUUGUUAAACAGGCG